Molecule: long non-coding RNA, 920 nt
Organism: Pongo pygmaeus (Bornean orangutan)
Lineage: Eukaryota; Metazoa; Chordata; Mammalia; Primates; Hominidae
Exons: 4
Source: RefSeq, a predicted model, not a curated record
UUGCGGCUUUGAGGUCUGGUUAGGUGGUUAUUAUGGGCUUGCCGAAUCCACUGCAUCUUCGCCUCAACCCACUCUCCAACCCUCCUACCCCCACUUAGAUUUCAAGUUCCUUAGGGAGGUAGAUCUUUUUUUUUUUUUUUUUUUUUUGAGACAGAGUCUCCCUCUGGAGUGAGUGCAGUGGCACGAUCUUGGCUCACAGCAAGCUCCGCCUCCGGGUUCACGCCAUUCUCCUGCCUCAGCCUCCGGAGUAGCUGGGACUACAGGCGCUCACCACCACGCCUGGCUAAUUUUUUUUUUGUAUUUUUUUUUUUUUUUUUUUUGUAGAGAUGGAGUUUCACCGUGUUAGCCACCAUAGUCUCGAUCUGUCAGGAGUUCCAGCCAUGCGAGAUUUCUGUGAAGGAUUUAAACAAGAGAAAAACAAAGGAGAAGUAAGCAGCCUGCAAAGAAAUGUUUAGAAAAUUCCAAGUGGGUGAAGCUUGCGGGAUUUGAUGAGCCUGAAGAGCUUCCUUUAGGAUUUCUUGUGAGACAAGUCAGCUUUUAUUUGUCUGGAAAAGUCUUUAUCUCACUUUUAUUUGUGAAGAACAGCUUUGGCAAUUCUCAAGAAUAACUGUAGAAUGUACUGGGAAUGCAACAUCCUGAGAGAAGAAAGGACUGGCUAGAAUAGCCCAGGUCCUGUUCCAGUUCCCUUGGAAACUGAAUGUCUUUCAAUGCUUUGUCCAGGGGGUAACUUCACCUUGGAGUAUAAAACCCAGGGUGGGCUGCUUCUGCGGGUCCCUAGCUGAGGUACAAGUGUGGCAUGCACAGACAGGACUACACCUCCCCCGAGCAGCUUUCCCCAGCCUUGGAGGACUAGUUUGCCAUGAAUCCCAGGUGCUGUUGGCCCUUGCUGCCUAUCUGUAAGUAAUAAAUCCAUGUACAUG